UUAUAAAAAGCAAUUUUGCAUUCAGUUUCGACCUGACCUUAGGAUUCACACCUUUAUUUAAUAAA
Molecule: transfer RNA, 65 nt
Filed under: Coleolaelaps cf. liui XFX-2019
Lineage: Eukaryota; Metazoa; Arthropoda; Arachnida; Mesostigmata; Laelapidae
Description: tRNA-Arg
Source: RNAcentral